RNAcentral lists this ribosomal RNA (539 nucleotides) under Colletotrichum fructicola. RNAcentral describes it as "eukaryotic LSU rRNA". The stretch from base 178 to 331 matches the Rfam family "5.8S ribosomal RNA". The record is from RNAcentral. Lineage: Eukaryota; Fungi; Ascomycota; Sordariomycetes; Glomerellales; Glomerellaceae.
CAUUACUGAGUUUACGCUCUAUAACCCUUUGUGAACAUACCUAUAACUGUUGCUUCGGCGGGUAGGGUCUCCGCGACCCUCCCGGCCUCCCGCCUCCGGGCGGGUCGGCGCCCGCCGGAGGAUAACCAAACUCUGAUUUAACGACGUUUCUUCUGAGUGGUACAAGCAAAUAAUCAAAACUUUUAACAACGGAUCUCUUGGUUCUGGCAUCGAUGAAGAACGCAGCGAAAUGCGAUAAGUAAUGUGAAUUGCAGAAUUCAGUGAAUCAUCGAAUCUUUGAACGCACAUUGCGCCCGCCAGCAUUCUGGCGGGCAUGCCUGUUCUAGCGUCAUUUCAACCCUCAAGCUCUGCUUGGUGUUGGGGCCCUACAGCUGAUGUAGGCCCUCAAAGGUAGUGGCGGACCCUCCCGGAGCCUCCUUUGCGUAGUAACUUUACGUCUCGCACUGGGAUCCGGAGGGACUCUUGCCGUAAAACCCCCCAAUUUUCCAAAGGUUGACCUCGGAUCAGGUAGGAAUACCCGCUGAACUUAAGCAUAUCAA